UUGCCCCUGCUGUGUUCGUGAUCACCGUAAUUUCUCUGAAACAACACCCACGGUGUACGUAAACCUUAGCUUGCUUCGGUGUGCAUGUUCUGUAACUCACAGAAAAGCCUAAAGAAGCAACAAGGUCUAAACUUUGAAAUGGUUCUGGAGAGCUUCGUGACACGGCAUAUGGUGGGGGCAAU
RNAcentral lists this non-coding RNA (182 nucleotides) under Deltaproteobacteria bacterium. Its description in RNAcentral is "6S RNA". It matches the Rfam family "6S / SsrS RNA". From Rfam's summary of the family: E. coli 6S RNA was the first non coding RNA to be sequenced, but its function was unknown until recently. The record is from RNAcentral. Lineage: Bacteria; Pseudomonadati; Myxococcota; Myxococcia.